Vigna unguiculata (cowpea) is the source of this 586-nucleotide long non-coding RNA. RefSeq lists it as uncharacterized. The record is from RefSeq and is a predicted model, not a curated record. NCBI's taxonomy places the organism in Eukaryota, Viridiplantae, Streptophyta, Magnoliopsida, Fabales, Fabaceae.
UGUGUUCUUCUUGCGUAGUUUAUGGGUUUAGAGUUUUCACAACCCUUUUUUUAACCUUUGUUUUUGCUCUUUCUGUUUCGAUGUGUUUUCUUUUGUGGUUGAACCAUCCAAGUUUCUUUCAUUAUACCCAUUCAUCAUUGUUUCAUGUAUUGCUUAUAAAUACUUUUAUAGAUAUCAAGACCUGAGGUGGCAACAAAUAAAUUUUAACAUAUUGUUGAAACAUAAAGUGGUUAAACUCAUUCAAGGAUAUUUAGAAGAUGUUCAUGGUUUUUUGGAGGUAUUUGAGGUGAAGACCACGAUGGAUUGAUGGUUGCCGAAAUGUUGGGAGAGAGUUAAGGUUUUUUGUGAAUGCAAAUUUGGAAUUAAGGUUUCUGAUUUGGGAAUUGCUUACAAUUGGAGUUUCUGAUUUUGGGCUUUGCAGUUAGGGUUUAUGAUUUUCUCAUGAUUUUUGUAAUUACGAAUUGAAGAUUUUGAUUAUGCGAGAAUCGUGGUUUUUUAUUUUAUUGAUGAUGAUUGUGAAUUGGGUUUCUGUUUGUUGGUUGUAGCCUAUCUCAUCUCCAAUGAAUGAUUUCAUUGAUUGUGUUCA